Molecule: ribosomal RNA, 619 nt
Filed under: Eupholus schoenherrii mimikanus
Lineage: Eukaryota; Metazoa; Arthropoda; Insecta; Coleoptera; Curculionidae
Also listed under: 4 other names
Description: SSU rRNA
Rfam family: Eukaryotic small subunit ribosomal RNA
Source: RNAcentral
CUGCCAGUAGUCAUAUGCUUGUCUCAAAGAUUAAGCCAUGCAUGUCUCAGUACAAGCCAAAUUAAGGUGAAACCGCGAAAGGCUCAUUAAAUCAGUUAUGGUUCCUUAGAUCGUACCCACAAUUACUUGGAUAACUGUGGUAAUUCUAGAGCUAAUACAUGCAAACAGAGCUCCGACCGGAGACGGAAGGAGUGCUUUUAUUAGAUCAAAACCAAUCGGUGGCGAGUUCGCGCUCGUCAUCGUACAACUUGGUGACUCUGAAUAACUUUACGCUGAUCGCACGGUCUCGCACCGGCGACGCAUCUUUCAAAUGUCUGCCUUAUCAACUGUCGAUGGUAGGUUCUGCGCCUACCAUGGUUGUAACGGGUAACGGGGAAUCAGGGUUCGAUUCCGGAGAGGGAGCCUGAGAAACGGCUACCACAUCCAAGGAAGGCAGCAGGCGCGCAAAUUACCCACUCCCGGCACGGGGAGGUAGUGACGAAAAAUAACGAUACGGGACUCAUCCGAGGCCCCGUAAUCGGAAUGAGUACACUCUAAACCCUUUAACGAGGAUCAAUUGGAGGGCAAGUCUGGUGCCAGCAGCCGCGGUAAUUCCAGCUCCAAUAGCGUAUAUUAAAGU